Molecule: long non-coding RNA, 744 nt
Filed under: Vigna radiata
Lineage: Eukaryota; Viridiplantae; Streptophyta; Magnoliopsida; Fabales; Fabaceae
Description: long non-coding RNA (VRAD_LNC014789)
Source: RNAcentral
GGGGGUAGGACGAUCAAUUGUUUUUGCUUCUGUUCUUAAUGCAUUAUUAAUUGCUAGGGGAGGCUAAGGAUAGCAAGCCGGUAAUUUGUAAUAGGCUCUUUUCGCCGAGGGAUCGGGUUAAGGGUAGGCCAAGAAAGUUUGCAUAACAAUUAGAUAAUCAAGCACAUUAAACAAGAGGAGUAGAUAAGAGGGAGCGGAUAAGAUGAAAUUGUCAACCCCCAACAACUCCAUUCAUCCAUAGUCUUUUUCGUCAAUUGAAUCAAAUACAUUGCAUGAUUAUUUUUUGUCUUUGCAUCCACAACAAUUAAUCAUUUUCUGCAAGUCUUACGAUUUUGAUUCACACGAACGAUCCUUUCGAGUCUCUUGGGAAGAACGAUAUCGGGUAUAACCGAUUAUAUUACUUGGACGAUCUAGUACACUUGCCAAUGAGUCAACAGAUGGCUCGGAAGAAAAACCUGGGCAAAACCAGCGAAGGUACUUCUUCUCCAACCGAAUUGGCUAAUACUUCGGCUAUGCUCCCUCCCGCCUGGUGAAUCCAGUCUUGAAGGUGUCUGAAACAGCCACUCCCUCCUCUGACCCCAAGCCGGAUGACCACAAACCAAAAAGAAAACCUGCCCGAGAGAAAACUCCUUCACCUCCAAAGAAACGAAAGUUAAGUUCCCUUUUGCUGACCAGUCCCUUGGAUCCUAAUGUUCACGUUGCCGACCGUUUGCAAUUUAACCUAAGUGCUGAAGAGAAGAAGCC